UCUGCUAUAUUUCAUUUCAUUCAUUCUUUUUGAGAAACUGAAAACAAAGGGAAAUUGAGGGUAACUUGAAGAUUAUUUCCAACCAGUAUCUGAGUCUUGCAGUAUCUCAUUAUGCAGCCCUUUCUUUUACAGUUCGUACACCUUGACAAUCAAGAUAGUCUGAAGUACAAAAAGUAAAUUGUCCUUUAGCUGAAUUACCUUUUUAAAUAUCAGACCUGCUAGCUAAUCUACAAAAAAUUACAAGUUUCGGUGUUCUUCAAAUACCUUUUGUAGAUGUCAUCUGCUAGUA
RNAcentral lists this long non-coding RNA (289 nucleotides) under Bos taurus (domestic cattle). Its description in RNAcentral is "long non-coding RNA NONBTAT024466". The record is from RNAcentral. Lineage: Eukaryota; Metazoa; Chordata; Mammalia; Artiodactyla; Bovidae.